AAGCAUGCAUCAGCCACAUCCAUGCUAUCUCCUAAAGCAGUCAUUCUGAAAACCAAUCUGGGGACAGUGCAGACUAAAUAAAAUUUCAUUUUGAUUUGGCCUCCCGCUGAGAAUGGGACUGCUUUGUUUCAGCCGACAGAACCAGCAAGCCAGAAAGGUGUUGAACACACAAAUACUGACUUAACGGAAAAUUACGUGAGGAGAGAAGGAAGUUCCAAGACUGUACAAAAGAAAGCAACCAGAAGAUCAUGUUAUUUGUAACAUACACACCAAUGGAAAGGCCAUUUUUUGAAUGGUUUUAUGAGAAAAAAGCUACACCCAGAGAGAGACUGAUUCUAGGAGGUACAGAUUGAAGACUGCUUCUAAGAGGAAUAACUCACAAAAUCUUGAUGCAGAGAGCAGCCACAGGAGCUCCUGAAAAACACCUGCUUGUCCAGCCUUUCUCUAUAGAAAAAUACGGCAGAAGCACCUCCUCUGAGGAUUCAUGCUCCUUCCUGUUCUCCUAAAAAACAAGUUCACUGGUAUCCUGACCCUUCUACCAUCUGUUCAGUCUGUAUAAAGCUACUUACCAGCAGCUGUCUGUAAGUGGAAGGAGAACAAUCCUGGGAAAUGCAUCUUGCAGGCUUGGCUGCCACACAGAAGAAAAUUUCCAAGGAGAAUUAAUUUCCUGGUGCUCUUCCUGUCAGUAGAACAGGAAUCCUUCAGCAAUAGAUUAUCACCUUCCCACAUUGAAAUGAAGGCUAGACAGCAAAACUUCAAACCACAGAAUCAGGACUCUUCAUUGGUUCGUCCUUGUAAGUGGCAGGACCUUGAGCACUCCUGAAAGGUAUCUGGAUGACUUUUGGCAUCUCCCAGUGACAGAGAUCCCACAGUCUCCCCAGCUGAGGAUGUUUCAGCAACAGGGGAACCAUGAGAAGUUUUUUUUCUCUAUGAUGUGGAAAAUAGAGCUCCAUAAGCAGGACCAAGAUGCUCGUUUUAUGAGUACACACAUAAAAGGGUCUCAAGACAGAAGCAGGUCUACUCAUAUUUCCUCUGACUGAUUUUAGAAAGCUAAAAACUAUGAAGUCUUCAGUGGUGCUACUUUUUGGAAGUUUUGUUCUUAAUGAUUUAGGACCAAUAAAUAAGGAAUCAGAUAUUCCAUAAUAUCAUAGAAUCAUAGAAUCAUAGAAUCGAUCAGGUUGGAAGAGAUCUCCAAGAUCAUCCAGUCCAACCUAUCACACAGCCCUGUCCAAUCGACUAGACCAUGGCACUAAGUGCCUCACCCAGUCUUUUCUUAAACCAUAUCCUAUCUGCAGGAUUAUGUAGCUGGACACAAUUAUCCCUGAUAGUUAGGGUUUAUUUUAAUUAUGAUAUAUAUUUUUUGAUGAACCUUCCUGUUACAGUUGAAUAGUAGAGACAUUAUAAGUCAUAAAUAGCACAUGACAGAACAAAAGAAUUCCAAUAAUGAUGUUUUAAUUUUGAACAAAUAUGCCUUUAGCCAGAAUGUUUGUGAGACAUCUUGAGGCCACUGCAAUAUGAGAAUAUAAAGUGAAUUUUGAAUUCUGAAAUAUGAUGGUGAGCAAUAGAAAACCUGACUCUAAGUUAAUUCCACUCAGAGAGAUGCAAAGUGAUGUGUUAUGCUCCGACUAACCAGCAUGACAAUAUUGAAUGCCAAAUUUUGAAUAUCAAGUACUUGCAGUGAAGUGCUCAUAAAUGAUACACCUUCAUUCAGGGAAUAAUUCUAAAUAAUAAAUCUAAGAAAAUCAUAAACUGCUCUCAUACAACUCACAAAUAGAAAAAGGAGGUAUGGUUUGUCUAACAAAUUAUUCGGAGUGAAUUAUGCAUCUGGCAGGUACCUUGAGUCCCAGAUCUGUAUUUUCUAAAAUUUGUAUGGGAUGUCUUCUCUAAAGAUUUUGCAAUAUAAUUACCUAGUUCAGUCAUUCCCCAGCUGGAUGCUCUACAGCAGUAUCAGUCUGCUCAUAUAUUCCUGGAUGAGACUACUUAUACACUGUUUCCUCAUGCCAUUCCACACUAUGUUUCUAAGCAGAUUUGUCACCCGUUCUGGGAGAAACUGUGGCCUCCAUUUCCUUCAGUGACCUAAAAUAAUUAAGAGCUAAAUCUCCUGUCUUCAAGUACUUUUGCAUAUGCUUAGAUUUAUGCAUGAGCAGUUCCAUUUAUUUUUGUCAGUCUAUUCAUAAGAGUACAUAUAAGCAAACCUGUUUGCAGGUUUUGACUCGUAAGAGAUUCGUCUUGUAGUGUUAUGUGCUUCAUAAUUCUUCAGUAAAUAGAUCAUGAUCACUCAGCGAUGUCCAAACCAUGCACUACUAACCAAUGGAGCUGUGAAUUACCUAUAAUAAAAAGCUG
Pogoniulus pusillus (Red-fronted tinkerbird) is the source of this 2343-nucleotide long non-coding RNA. RefSeq lists it as uncharacterized. NCBI's taxonomy places the organism in Eukaryota, Metazoa, Chordata, Aves, Piciformes, Lybiidae. The transcript is spliced from 7 exons. The record is from RefSeq and is a predicted model, not a curated record.